UGGCUAAAAAUGCAAAUUCUUGCUUUUUUUGGAUCUGUUUUUUCUGAUUUUCAAGAGUCCUCAAAAACUAAUAAUAUGAACAUAGAGGAUCUCAAACAGCAAAAGACGGCACACACUUUCUCUAUCUCUCUCUCUCUAAAGUAAGGCGAGAUGGGGAGAUGAUCAAGGACGGCAAUGUAUGCGUGGGGGGUGCAAAGUGGCCCUAGAGGGUUGCGACCCAGGGAGUUCACGGCGCGCGCAAGGAAAACUUUCCACCAAACCAAACCAGAUCACCUUCCUUCUUCCUGUUUCCUUUAUUUGUUUCCUCUUUUUUUUGGUGCACUUUCCUUUUUUUAUUUCUUUCUAUCUUGUUUUGGAUAGGGAGGGGGCUAUCGGUGGGGUGGUAUGCGGCGGCGCGGUGGUCUGGUGGUGACCAAGGUAGGUAUUCGCAUGAGGAGGACGGUGUGCGAACAGCGGACCGGCAGUGGCAAAAGUAGGGUUAGGAGAACAAAGAGAAAAACAAGGGAUUAAACACAAGUGACUAGCAACAACUGAAAGAGUAAGCACACAAAUUCAACAU
RNAcentral lists this long non-coding RNA (559 nucleotides) under Sorghum bicolor (sorghum). RNAcentral's name for it is "long non-coding RNA (SBIC_LNC004861)". The record is from RNAcentral. Lineage: Eukaryota; Viridiplantae; Streptophyta; Magnoliopsida; Poales; Poaceae.